This 195-nucleotide microRNA precursor is filed under the name Oryza rufipogon (brownbeard rice). RNAcentral's name for it is "MIR812 microRNA precursor family". It matches the Rfam family "MIR812 microRNA precursor family". The record is from Rfam by way of RNAcentral. Lineage: Eukaryota; Viridiplantae; Streptophyta; Magnoliopsida; Poales; Poaceae.
AAUAGAUGACGCCGUUAACUUUUUCUCACAUGUUUAACCAUUCGUCUUAUUCAAAAAAUUUAUGUAAUUAUAAUUUAUUUUGUUAUGAGUUAUUUUAUCACUUUAAGUAUAAUUUAUAUCAUAUACAUUUGCAUAAAAUUUUUGAAUAAGACGAAUAGUCAAACAUGUAAGAAAAAAUCAACGGCGUCAUCUAUU